This 450-nucleotide ribosomal RNA is filed under the name uncultured bacterium. Its description in RNAcentral is "partial 16S ribosomal RNA". It matches the Rfam family "Bacterial small subunit ribosomal RNA", at positions 338 to 795 of the family's 1533-position model. The record is from RNAcentral.
CCUACGGGUGGCUGCAGUGAGGAAUAUUGGUCAAUGGACGCAAGUCUGAACCAGCCAUGCCGCGUGAAGGAUGAAGGCCUUCUGGGUUGUAAACUUCUUUUACCUGGGAAGAAAACUACGAUUUCUAUCGUAGCCGACGGUACCAGAGGAAUAAGCACCGGCUAACUCCGUGCCAGCAGCCGCGGUACUACGGAGGGUGCAAGCGUUAUCCGGUUUUACUGGGGUGUAAGGGUGUGUAGAAGUCCGUGGAGAAAUCUCCGGGCUCAACCUGGAAACUGCCAUGGAUACUAUUAGUCUUGAAUUUUGUUGAGGUAGGCGGAAUAAGUCAUGUAGCGGUGAAAUGCUUAGAUAUGACUUAGAACACCAAUUGCGAAGGCAGCUUGCUAAACAAAUAUUGACGCUGAGGCACGAAAGCGUGGGGAUCAAACAGGAUUAGAUACCCCAGUAGUC